GACGAACGCUGGCGGCGUGCCUAAUACAUGCAAGUUGAGCGCUGAAGGUUGGUACUUGUACCAACUGGAUGAGCAGCGAACGGGUGAGUAACGCGUGUGGAAUCUGCCUUUGAUCGGGGGACAACAUUUGGAAACGAAUGCUAAUACCGCAUAAAAACUUUAAACACAAGUUUUAAGUUUGAAAGAUGCAAUUGCAUCACUCAAAGAUGAUCCCGCGUUGUAUUAGCUAGUUGGUGAGGUAAAGCCUCACCAAGGCGAUGAUACAUAGCCGAACUGAGAGGGUGAUAGGCCACACUGGGACUGAGACACGGCCCAAACUCAUACGGAAGGCAGCAGUAGGGAAUCUUCGGCAAUGGACGAAAGUCUGACCGAGCAACGCCGCGUGAGUGAAGAAGGUUUUCGGAUCGUAAAACUCUGUUGGUAGAGAAGAACGUUGGUGAGAGUGGAAAGCUCAUCAAGUGACGGUAACUACCCAGAAAGGGACGGCUAACUACGUG
RNAcentral lists this ribosomal RNA (497 nucleotides) under uncultured bacterium. RNAcentral describes it as "partial 16S ribosomal RNA". It matches the Rfam family "Bacterial small subunit ribosomal RNA", at positions 28 to 507 of the family's 1533-position model. The record is from RNAcentral.